AUUUAAUUACUUUGAAAAAACUGAAAACAUUAACAAGACCUUUGUUUCAAAUAUAAGCCUUUAAUUUUAAUGAUUCUCAUUUGUCUGUAAUAAUUUUAAUUUUAAUAAUUUUUACAUGAGUCCAUCUUUAGCCCCAUUGUAAACUACCAAAAACCAGUCACAAAAUAUUAAUAAUCAAAUAAAAUUUUUAUAAUUAUAUUUUCAUUCAGUGUGAGAAAAAAAUGAAGAGUGAUGUCUAUUUUCCAAAUACACCUGCCUCUCAACCUCCCCACAAUCUUAAACACCAGAGUAAUAUGUCAUAGUUAUACUGUAAUGUUACUCUUAAUAUUUUAACAUGAUUGCAUGUAUAGUUCUACAAAAGGUUUGAAGAAUGAAAAUGAUAAACUAGUUCAGUAUCAGGAAUCAUGUGAGUAGAGUGCAUUUCAAUUAGUUUCUUAUCUUGUGCUUGUGCUGGCAAGUUAAAAUCUCUAUAGCACUGAUCCUGGUGUAUAGAAAAAGUAGUGCUCAUACAAACACACACACAAACACACUCUCACCCUAAAACUUAAACACAGUCUCAGAGAUCAUUCAUGUUCUUCACUCUCUGCAGGCUGAGGAUCUGCAGUAUUGGAGAGGAAGGCUGUGCUGCUCUGAUUUCAGCUCUGAGAUCAAACCCCUCACACCUGACAGAACUGAAUCUGAGCUAUAAUAAACCAGGAGACUCAGGAGUGAAGCUGCUCUCUGAUCUACUGGAGGAUCCACACUGUAAACUGGAGAAACUACAAAUUUGACAUUGGAAACUCCACAUGCUCCAAACAACCGAAUCAAAACAACACGUCCUGAACAAAACUGUCACCUGGACAAAUGCUGAUAUUGUAGUGAAUUUGCUUUCACCACCUUUUAGAGCCUCUUUCUGUAUCAUUAACACCAGGAAGACACAAGAGUAAUAAAAUUAGUUGUAUUAAGAAUAGAUAAACAAAUGUAAUCAACAACUACUAAAUAAAAACCAUGAAUGAAAAAGCAAAAGUAAUAAAGU
Molecule: long non-coding RNA, 1015 nt
Organism: Cyprinus carpio (common carp)
Lineage: Eukaryota; Metazoa; Chordata; Actinopteri; Cypriniformes; Cyprinidae
Exons: 2
Source: RefSeq, a predicted model, not a curated record